GACGAACGCUGGCGGCGUGCUUAACACAUGCAAGUCGAACGGAAAGGCACUGCUUUUGUGGGGUGCUCGAGUGGCGAACGGGUGAGUAACACGUGAGUAACCUGCCCUUGACUUUGGGAUAACUUCAGGAAACUGGGGCUACUAUCGGAUAGGAGCUCCUGCUGCAUGGUGGGGGUUGGAACGUUUCGGCGGUUGGGGAUGGACUGGCGGCUUAUCAGCUUGUUGGUGGGGUAGUGGCUUACCAAGGCUUUGACGGGUAGCCGGCAUGUGAGGGGGACCGGCCACAAGGGGACUGAGAUACGGCCCAGACUCCUACGGGAGGCAGCAGUGGGGAAUAUUGCACAAUGGGCGGAAGCCUGAUGCAGCAACGCCGCGUGCGGGAUGACGGCCUUCGGGUUGUGAACCGCUUUCGCCUGUGACGAAGCGGGAGUGACGGUAAUGGGUAAAGAAGCACCGGCUAACUACGUG
This 468-nucleotide ribosomal RNA is filed under the name uncultured bacterium. RNAcentral describes it as "partial 16S ribosomal RNA". It matches the Rfam family "Bacterial small subunit ribosomal RNA", at positions 28 to 507 of the family's 1533-position model. The record is from RNAcentral.